Drosophila melanogaster (fruit fly) is the source of this 511-nucleotide non-coding RNA. NCBI's taxonomy places the organism in Eukaryota, Metazoa, Arthropoda, Insecta, Diptera, Drosophilidae. The record is from Ensembl.
UCACUUAUCAUCGAAUAGCAGAAAGGUUAUCACCAAAGCAGCGGUGCUUACUCUGCCAACACUGGAAAUAACGGUGAUAACGGCGGACCUCUAACCCGAGCAUAGAAAAUGGCCAUAACGCAGAUUGCCCUCCAGGGAGGAGGCACUACUGCACAGACUCCAGAGAUGCCCGUCUUCCCGGAUGGACCUCACCGGGAUAGCAUCGACCUUGAUCGGGAGCAGGUGUUAAUGACCAACCAUUGAACAGGCGACUCUGCCCUGGGGUUUUGGCAAAUUCGAGCUUAUCAGGCACAGACAGAUCACUCUGCUCUUAUCGGUCCCGCGGGCAGCGAAACGUGCAACGAAACAAAUGACUCGCCAUUAACGUCUGUCUGAUCCUCCCUGAGCUCGGAAUCUCGUAUUUAUAGCUAAUAUUGCCAUUACUAUGCUUCAGAAUCCGGUCUGGUCCAUCUACGAAGUGCGAUGUGAAAAUUGAAAGUGAAAGUACUAUAAAUUUAAUAUAAAGGUUAAU